This 253-nucleotide ribosomal RNA is filed under the name uncultured bacterium. RNAcentral describes it as "partial 16S ribosomal RNA". It matches the Rfam family "Bacterial small subunit ribosomal RNA", at positions 524 to 776 of the family's 1533-position model. The record is from RNAcentral.
UACGUAGGGGGCAAGCGUUGUCCGGAUUUAUUGGGCGUAAAGGGCGUGUAGGCGGCCUGGUAAGUCGGGGGUGAAAACUCAGGGCUCAACCCUGAGACUGCCUUCGAUACUGCUGGGCUUGAGUGCUCUAGAGGGUAGUGGAAUUGCCGGUGUAGCAGUGAAAUGCGUAGAGAUCGGCAGGAACACCAGUGGCGAAGGCGACUGCCUGGGGAGUAACUGACGCUGAGGCGCGAAAGCUGGGGGAGCAAACGGG